GUCUUUCUACAUUCUACCAACCCAACAGAUGUUUCUACUACAGUGAAUGUUAACCAAUGAGGUGGGUCUUUACACAUUCUACCAACAUAACAGAUGUUUCUACUACAGUGAAUAUUAACCAAUGAGGUGGGUCUUUCCACAUUCUACCAACCCAACAGAUGUUUCUACUACAGUGAUAUUAACCAAUGAGGUGGGUCUUUCCACAUUCUACCAACACAACAGAUGUUAAUACUACAGUGAAUAUUAACCAAUGAGGUGGGUCUUUACACAUUCUACCAACACAACAGAUGUUUCUACUACAGUGAAUAUUAACCAAUGAGGUGGGUCUUUACACAUUCUACCAUCACAACAGAUGUUUCUACUACAGUGAAUAUUAACCAAUGAGGUGGGUCUUUCCACAUUCUACCAACACAACAGAUGUUAAUACUACAGUGAAUAUUAACCAAUGCGGUGGGUCUUUCCACAUUCUACCAACCCAACAGAUGUUUCUACUACAGUGAAUAUUAACCAAUGAGGUGGGUCUUUCCACAUUCUACCAACACAACAGAUGGUAAUACUACAGUGAAUAUUAACCAAUGAGGUGGGUCUUUCCAUAUCCUACCAACACAACAGAUGUUUCUACUACAGUGAAUAUUAACCAAUGAGGUGGGUCUUUACACAUCCUACCAACCCAACAGAUGGUUCUACUACAGUGAAUAUUAACCAAUGAGGUGGGUCUUUCCACAUUCUACCAACACAACAGAUGUUAAUACUACAGUGAAUAUUAACCAAUGAGGUGGGUCUUUCCACAUUCUACAAACACAACAGAUGGUAAUACUACAGUGAAAAUUAACCAAUGAGGUGGGUCUUUCCACAUUCUACCAACACAACAGUUGUUUCAACUACAGUGAAUAUUAACCAAUGACGUGGGUCUUUCC
This 917-nucleotide long non-coding RNA is filed under the name Salmo salar (Atlantic salmon). Its description in RNAcentral is "lncRNA (ENSSSAG00000110084.1)". Lineage: Eukaryota; Metazoa; Chordata; Actinopteri; Salmoniformes; Salmonidae. The record is from RNAcentral.